RNAcentral lists this ribosomal RNA (442 nucleotides) under uncultured prokaryote. RNAcentral's name for it is "bacterial SSU rRNA". It matches the Rfam family "Bacterial small subunit ribosomal RNA", at positions 355 to 796 of the family's 1533-position model. The record is from RNAcentral.
UCGAGAAUCUUCGGCAAUGGACGAAAGUCUGACCGAGCGACGCCGCGUGCGGGAUGAAGGCCCUCGGGUUGUAAACCGCUGUCAGUUUGGAGGAAGGGAGUGUGCAGAGCACUUCUUGACCGAUAUUCAGAGGAAGGACGGGCUAAGUUCGUGCCAGCAGCCGCGGUAAGACGAACCGUCCAAACGUUAUUCGGUAUCACUGGGCUUAAAGCGUGCGUAGGCGGCCUGGAAGGUGUGAUGUGAAAGCCCACAGCUCAACUGUGGAAUUGCAUUGCAAACCGUCAGGCUUGAGGAAGACAGGGGUGUUGGGAACUUAUGGUGGAGCGGUGAAAUGCGUUGAUAUCAUAGGGAACACCGGUGGCGAAGGCGCAACACUGGGUCUUUUCUGACGCUGAGGCACGAAAGCUAGGGUAGCGAACGGGAUUAGAUACCCCCGUAGUCC